GACAGAGGGGGCGAGCGAUGUUCGGACUCACUGGGCUUAAAGGGCGAGUAGGCGGUAGGGCAAGUCUGAGGUGGAAUCCUAUGGCCCAACCAUAGACCUGCCUUGGAAACUGUUCUACUUGAGUCAGUGAGGGGAGGGCGGAAUUCCCGGUGUAGCGGUGAAAUGCGUAGAUAUCGGGAGGAAGGCCGGUGGCGAAGGCGGCCCGCGGGCGCUGUACGGACGCUGAGGCGCGAAAGCGUGGGGAGCAAACAGG
RNAcentral lists this ribosomal RNA (253 nucleotides) under uncultured bacterium. Its description in RNAcentral is "partial 16S ribosomal RNA". It matches the Rfam family "Bacterial small subunit ribosomal RNA", at positions 524 to 776 of the family's 1533-position model. The record is from RNAcentral.